GACAGAGGGUGCAAACGUUGUUCGGAAUUACUGGGCGUAAAGUGUGCGCAGGCGGCAGAGCAAGUUGAGUGUGAAAGCCCCGGGCUUAACUUGGGAAUUGCGCUCGAAACUACUUUGCUGGAGUGUGGCAGAGGAAGGUGGAAUUCCACGUGUAGCGGUGAAAUGCGUAGAGAUGUGGAGGAACACCAAUGGCGAAGGCAGCCUUCUGGGCCAACACUGACGCUCAUGCACGAAAGCGUGGGGAGCAAACAGG
RNAcentral lists this ribosomal RNA (253 nucleotides) under uncultured bacterium. RNAcentral's name for it is "partial 16S ribosomal RNA". It matches the Rfam family "Bacterial small subunit ribosomal RNA", at positions 524 to 776 of the family's 1533-position model. The record is from RNAcentral.